RNAcentral lists this long non-coding RNA (5964 nucleotides) under Sorghum bicolor (sorghum). Its description in RNAcentral is "long non-coding RNA (SBIC_LNC004328)". The record is from RNAcentral. Lineage: Eukaryota; Viridiplantae; Streptophyta; Magnoliopsida; Poales; Poaceae.
CACCACGCCAACAUGUAGAACUUUCUCAAAAAAAAAAAACUCCAGCAUGUAAAAUAUUCUAUGCAAAAUAAGUGGGUAAAAGAUGAUCCAAGCUAUGGAUAAAACCAUAAAUUUUAGCACAAAUAUGAAUCUAACAAUUACAACUUCAUCUCACAAGACCGAGAAAAGACGGACUACGUACCAGAGAUUUAGGGGUACGGGGAGAUGAAUCGUUGUGACAUUCUCUUCUACAGUCACACAUACAAGGACAAUAAGAUCAUAUACAAAAAUACAUGUAUUUGGGCGAUAAGAAAAAUAGUUAAUAUUAUUAAAAUGUCAUUAGAGCUUACAAACAAUGUUUAGAGUUAUAUUUAGAAGAAAUUGGAGUCCUACUUGGAGGAAGCCACAAUGAUCGGAGUUCUCGCGGAUAUGAGAAGGUGGCUGGAUAGGUAACGUAGUUCCCACCUGCAUCAAAUGAAAAUUAUUAUAAAAAAAAUUACUCGACCACUACUGGACCUGACCCCCGGGCCACGGCGAGUCAAACCAUUUAACCAAGACUCAAUGAAAAUUGUGACUACUGAUAAAGUAUCUACUGCCACCAGUCACAAAUGUACAUGUGGGGAACUUUUUGCAACUUAUUACUGAUAAGGAAUAUUACAUUGGAAAUAUAAAUACAAUUUUUCCCAGAAACUAUUUUAUGUUUUUAUAAUCUGUUUUGGUUUUAUAAACAUAUUAUAAUAGAAAUACUCUGUCAAAUUAUAAUUUAUAGACUAUGUCCCUGUCUAAAACAUUAUAUUUAGUUGGAGGGAGUAGUAAGUACCAAAGGUAUAUACAAUUUCCUCCAAUUUUUUUGGUUAACACAAGCUACAAAUUACCUAUCUCUCAUUACCUGGAGACCAAGGAUUGCUAAAGGACCAGCCCUUGCUCCCCUUUUUUUUGACGAAAUCUGGAGAGGCUGGGGCCUCUACAGCGACUUUAUUAAAGAAGUAAGUAAAAAAAGAGGAACUAUACAAGAGAAGCCCGAAAGAGCUGAACUAGAAAAGGAAAACUAAACUAGAACAAGGCUGGGAGCUAGAUUUACUAAGAAACUAGGCUUUCAGCCCAAAGAACAAGCUGAUCAUGAGAGCUAGACCUGACCCUAUGAUGCAAGAGACCCACUUCUUUUGUCAAAGUUCUUCUGCAGUUUGGGAUCGAAAUUUGGAUACCCUUGAAAAUCAGAUCAUUUCUAGCAGACCAGAUGGUCCAGGCCAGUAAAAUGAUGGCUUCCAUGAAGAAGGGAGAAUUAAGCUGGUCUUUGAUUUGAUCAAUGAUGCCAGGGAAGGAGCUCUGGAGAGGAAUAUCAACCUGAAUCAUGUUCCAACAAUGAGCAGCAAAGGGGCAGUUUAAGAACAAAUGUUCUACUGUCUCUUCCGCUAAACUAUUGCAAAGAGCACAGGUGUAGGAGUCAAGUUGCAUAUUUCUCCUUCUUAGGAUAUUCAUGGUGCUCAGCCUGUCUUUCAGAAGGAGCCAGAAAAAGACCUUGUGCUUUGGUUGACAGCAAUUCUUCCAGAGCCAUCUGAACGCAGGAUGGAUGGGAUGGUGACCUGUGAGUCUUCUGUAGACCUUAGCAGAGGCAAAUCGAUCAGAGCCCCAGCAAUAGUGCCACUUGUCAUUAGCAUCCGAGGUUGCAAUCCCAUCGAUGGCCUGCUGAACUUCUUGGAGCUGUUGAAAAGCAGUGAGGAACAAGGGUAAGUGCACCAAAUCAGUGAAGUCAUUUGCCUCAAAGGCUUUUUGGGCUGUAAUUUGCUUGUUUCGGGCAAAGGAGAAUAAUUCUAGAUUUGAAGAUGCAAGAGGACCAGAAUGAAGCCAGGAGUCAUGCCAGAAAAGAACUGAGGUGCCACUGCUGAUAUGAGGGCUGGCAAUGUUCUUGAAAACUUGGAGAAGUUUUAAGAUGUCUUUCCAACAAAAAGAGCCCUUCCUAGUAUGACUGGGGAGCUUGCUACUUUUAUAAUGUUUCUCCCAGACCAGUUGGACCCAGGGGAUGUCCAACUUGUUGAAGAAUUUGUGCAGAUUUUUCAAAAGAAGGGCUCUAUUAUGUUUUUCCAAAUCAAUUACACCUAGACCCCCCUCAUCUUUUGGGGCACAAACUAAUUUCUAGGCAGCCUUGGGCAUGGAUUUUGGGUUGAUAGCAGAUCCUCUCCAAAGGCAAUGCUUUCUGAACUUGUCAAUCUGCUUGAUAACCCCUUUAGGGAGCUGCAGGGUACACAUGAAAAAGGUGGGGAGAGCAGAGAGCACUGCAUUGGUAAUCUGGAGCCUACCAGCCUGGCUUAGAAGAGAGGAGAUCCCUCCUAAUCUUCUCUCACAUUUAUUAACAAGGGGCAAAAAAUCCUGAAAUUUGGGUCUGUCAAUGCAAAGUGGGAGACCCAGAUAGGUAAAAGGAAGAGUGCCCUUGGAGCAUCCAAAGGUAGCAGCAAGCACAUCUAGCUUUUCAGCAGAAAUAUUAAUUGGAACCAUCAUAGACUUGGAGAAAUUAACCUUGAGACCAGUUGACAUGGAAAAACUAUUGAGUAAGGAUUUCAAAAAAAACAGCUGCUUAGCAUCACCCUCCAUGACAAUUAAAGUGUCAUCAGCAUACUGAAUAACCGGAAAUGCAUUUUCUGAAGACAUUGGGAUGGGUAGCCUGAGUUGACCCAUAGCCAUUGCUUUGUUGAUCAUAGACUGAAGAAAGUCAGCAGCAAUGACAAACAGGAGGGGUGAGAGGGGGUCACCUUGACUGACCCCCCGUUUACAGUGAAUUGUCUUGCCAGGUACCCCAUUGAGCAUAACUGCAGAUGUGCCAGAGGCAAAGAUCGCCUCCAUCCACUUUAUCCAUUUCUGACCAAAGCCCAUAGCUCUCAUUAUGGUGAUCAUAGCUUGAUGUUCAAUCUUGUCAAAGGCCUUUUGGGCUGUUGCAACUGAUGUUGCUGGACAGCAACAGCCCAAGGGUCCCAAUCAUUUUCAUCUUCCACCUCUGGUCCCUCUUCCUGAUUUUGCUGGGCCUGCAAGCCCAGAUUGUUCUGUUCAUCUUCAUCAUCCUGGGCUACAUUCAGAUCUAGCCCAAUACCAGGCUGUCCCAGGCCGAAGAAAUCAAAUGGCAGCCCUGCAAUUGGCUGAUUAGGAACUGGCUCUUCAUCAGGAAGUUCAGCACCAAGCAAAUUAUUCUGAAGAAUCUCACACUGCACAGUCCAUGAUCUACCCUCGAAACCAGGUGACUCAGAGAAGACCACAAAGUGGGGGGACCGACUGAGUAUCAAUAACUCUAGCUCUGAUGAUUGACCUAGUUAGGCUGCUUCUUUCUUUCUGCCAGAAAAGAAGUUUGCCAUAAGACCCAAUAGCAUCUUGGAAGAACUGCUCCUCUUGGAAAUUAGGCGGAAAGCCCAACAUCAUAAUCCAGCAUUCAGAGUUAAACAGCACACUACGCGCAUUCCUGCCUUCAUCAUGUUUAAUAAAAUCAAAGAAGAGGUUCUGGAAGGCGAUAGGCCCCUGCUGAACAAGAAUGUCUCUAUCAAGCGCACGAGCAAAGCGAACGUAAGCCUGGCCUAAGCAGCAAGGUUGAAUCUCAACCACCCCAAUCCUUCUGGCAUUACAGAAUAGGCGAAUCACCUCUUCAACAUCGUCGAAGUCCAGCGCAACAUCCGGGAGCGGGUUUAGGUUGACGAUGGCAAGAUCAUCGUUCUUGGGGGCUUCAUCGUUGUUGGGGACGACUCUUCUAGAUGCCACCGCACGCACCAUGGCCGGCCUGUUGGGAGUCUCUUCCCACACCAUGUUGCGGGGGACAAAAGGUCGUGGGUCGAUCCUCUGGAACGCCAUUGGAGAACACGGGUGAUCAGUGGGGGGCUCACUGCCAGGCAAUGGCGCGCUAUACUGUAGCUCAAAGUUGGAGUUUUCUACUUCGGGAGCUGAGGUGGCCGAACGGGGUGAAGAGAACGAGGAAAGACGAAGCGUCUACGAAGCUGGCGCUACAUUAAGAGGGUCAAGGGAAGGUGAGGGGACAGCCGGAGCGCCCUGGCCCAAGGAUGGGGCCAAAAUGGGCCGAUUGAGCGCCUGCACGGCCCAAGAAGGCGAAAGGGCAUGAAACGCCUCUCCAAAGGACUUAAACACAGGUGGCUGCGACGGACCCGAGGCAGCGUGGUGCCGGAACCAAUUCGACCUCAAGACAGAAGCCGCAUUCUCAUUAAGGCAUUUUGAACUUUGUCCCCCAUUGAAGGCCUUGGCGGGACACGAGGCGAAAUCGUGGCCCGAGAGGCGGCAGCCAGAGCACCGGAUAGGCCAACGACAACUGUGCCUCUCAUGCCCAGGAAGGAGGCAUCUAGGGCAAGGCAAUGGGCGGCGCGCCACCGCAUCACGACGCCGGAGCGGAGGAGGACGCCGAGGCCGCCCAGCAGAAGGCCCGCCUUGGGGAAAAGAAAGCCUAUCAAAAACGGAUGGGCGCCUGCCAAGAGAGUUACGAUCAAGAACAGGGGUCUUCUUAGCUGCAGAUAUUUUCUACACCACCUUAGUCUAUCUGCCACUUCAACCAUUUCUGGGCGCAGUUUGUCUUCCAAUCUCAAGCAUUCGACUGCUAGCUUUGCAAUAUUAUCAAGCACCUUCAUGUUCUCUUUUCCAUACACAAUUUCCUCAUCAAACAUUUAUCUUAUCCUUUUCCCUCUUUUAACACAGAAAUUUUGAAUAAGGUAAAGAUUGCCAUCGUCUGCCACUUUCUUUCUGGUGAUCAUUUCCACCAAAACAACCCCAAAGCUAUAUAUGUCACACUUGGACGUAAGAAUCCCAGUCUGACCGUAUAGAGGAUCCAGGUAACCUAUAGAACCAAUGAUAUUUUUGGUUUGCUGGGCCCCAUCAGAAGAAAUCAAUCUCGCUAUUCCAAAAUCUGAUAUCUUGGGUUCAAACGUUUGUCCAAACGUUUGUCCAAAGGGAAGGAGGCAAGAUUUCCGUUAGAGAUAAGUUCCAUAACAAUUGUUAGCGCAUUUUCUUCAGUGCAGCAACCCAAAAGUCUAACCACAUUCUUGUGGUUUAUUUGAGAAUGCACUAUAACCUCCUUGGCAAAAGCUUCUUUCCUUGUUCCAUCUUUGUAUUUCUUUACUGCCACCAGAUGCUGAUCAUCCAAUACUCCUUUGUAAACCGCACCAAAGGCCCCUUUCCCUAGCAAAGUGCUAUUGGUAAUGAGCUCUAUCUCCCUUUCCAUGAAAGAUCUUAGGUUGUAGUUAUUGUUCACUCUUUGAAGAACCACAUGUCCAUUAAAUUGAAGGAAAUCUCUGAGACUGUUCCCUUGGUAGUCCAUGUCUGGAAUUGGAAAGCGGUGUAAUGCUUAGUCUAGUGUAACAUGAUGGAAGAUGUUAAUGCAUUAUCAGUAUAUAUUACUCUUUUUCUCUCUGAAAUCAUGGUUUCUGAAUAUUUUGCGCCGCUGAUUAAGAUAAUGGGGGUGGGGGUGAGACCUUUUCUUUCUUUCUUUUCUUUCUAUAAAGCAAAAAAUGCUUGAGACACUAGCUGCAGCUCUGGUUUGGAGAUCUACUAGAGACGUCUAGGUGCUCCAUCCACACCACAAGCCCUUUUGAUCAGGUGGGAUCCCGACGGGUUCAGAAACGCCAGCGGCGCCAUCCAUGCUGAACAUGCGCAAGCAAAAUCACCAUUUUAUCAGUGCAUAUUCUCCCUCCGGUAUGUAUAUAUACAUCGUCUUCAAAGAGCGUGUGGAUACAUGUAGCCGGUAGCCCCAAGGAUCGUUCGCUGAUCGCCCACAAGCUCAUAAAAAUUCAGAGAAUCCAAUCCAAUUUUUCGCUAUGUUGACGGAAAGUCGGCAAUUCUAAGCCAAAACGAACCAACUACAUCCAUUCCAACCCUAUAGUCAAAUCAAAUACGAGCUUGAAAUUACCAAGUAGUGCUAGCAUACUAGAGAUACGUACCGCGGGCUCCCGUGGUUUGGUGGUCGUACGCCGAUGAACUUGAACACUUGAGCAGCCGCCCAGUUAUCCA